RNAcentral lists this ribosomal RNA (851 nucleotides) under uncultured bacterium. RNAcentral's name for it is "bacterial SSU rRNA". It matches the Rfam family "Bacterial small subunit ribosomal RNA", at positions 45 to 899 of the family's 1533-position model. The record is from RNAcentral.
AGCUUAUACAUGCAGUCGAGGGGCAGCACAGGGUAGCAAUACCUGGGUGGCGACCGGCAAACGGGUGCGGAACACGUACAGAACCUACCUUCGAGCGGGGGGUAGCCCAGAGAAAUUUGGAUUAAUACCCCAUAGUAUAUUUGGAUGGCAUCAUUUGAAUAUUAAAGAUUUAUCACUUGAAGAUGGCUGUGCGUAUGAUUAGGUAGUUGGCGGGGUAACGGCCCACCAAGCCUACGAUCAUUAACUGGUGUGGGAGCACGACCAGUCACACGGGCACUGAGACACGGGCCCGACUCCUACGGGAGGCAGCAGUAAGGAAUAUUGGUCAAUGGACGCAAGUCUGAACCAGCCAUGCCGCGUGGAGGAUGAAGGUCCUCUGGAUUGUAAACUUCUUUUAUCUGGGACGAAAAAAGGGAAUUCUUUCUCGUCUGACGGUACCAGAUGAAUAAGCACCGGCUAACUCCGUGCCAGCAGCCGCGGUAAUACGGAGGGUGCAAGCGUUAUCCGGAUUCACUGGGUUUAAAGGGUGCGUAGGCGGGUAUGUAAGUCCGUGGUGAAAUCUCCGAGCUUAACUCGGAAACUGCCAUGGGUACUGCGUAUCUUGAAUGUUGUGGAGAUGAGCGGAAUAUGUCAUGUAGCGGUGAAAUGCUUAGAUAUGACAUAGAACACCAAUUGCGAAGGCAGCUCACUACACAAAUAUUGACGCUGAGGCACGAAAGCGGGGGAUCAAACAGGAUUAGAUACCCUGGUAGUCCACGCCCUAAACGAUGAUUACUCGACAUACGUGGUACACAAUGUGUGUCUGAGCGAAAGCAUUAAGUAAUCCACCUGGGAGUACGACGCAUGUGAAA